RNAcentral lists this non-coding RNA (485 nucleotides) under Sorghum bicolor (sorghum). Its description in RNAcentral is "Eukaryotic small subunit ribosomal RNA". It matches the Rfam family "Eukaryotic small subunit ribosomal RNA", at positions 426 to 959 of the family's 1831-position model. Lineage: Eukaryota; Viridiplantae; Streptophyta; Magnoliopsida; Poales; Poaceae. The record is from Rfam by way of RNAcentral.
CACCAGGCCUCCAGCAAAACACCACAAGCUGCUUUCAUUAGCCACUGUGAAGAGAGCCUGAAUGUUUGGCCUGGCCCCUUCAAGACAAGGGCAUUCCUAUGUUCUAAAUCUCCCAGGCAACAAGGGCAAGUCUAGUGCCAACAACCACGGUAAUUCCAGCUCCAAUAGUGUAUAUUUAAGUUGUUGUGGUUACCUGGGGUCAGGUUGGCUGGUCCAAAUUAUGGCGAGAACCAACCUACUCGGCCCUUCUGCCCGUGAUGUGCUUCUGUCCUUAAUUGGCUGGGUAAUGCCUCCAGCGCCGUUACUUUGAAGAAAUUAAAGUUCUCAAAGCAAACCAUCACUUUAGAUACAUUAGCAUGGGAUAACAUCAUAGGAUUCUUGUCCUAUUGUGUUGAACUUCGGGAUCGGAAAUGAUUAAUAGGGACACGAUUAGAGAGUUAAGGCCUUUGUGCAUCUCCUUAGAGCCAGCAUUAAAAAAAUCAAUC